This 18865-nucleotide long non-coding RNA is filed under the name Gossypium raimondii (Peruvian cotton). Its description in RNAcentral is "long non-coding RNA (GRAI_LNC007911)". Lineage: Eukaryota; Viridiplantae; Streptophyta; Magnoliopsida; Malvales; Malvaceae. The record is from RNAcentral.
CAAAUGAAAGUCCGGGACACAUUCUUCUACCACUUCCAAAUGGAAUCAGUUCAAAAUUUUGUCCCCUCACAUCAACAUCUUUAUGUGUGGUCAUAAAUCUUUCAGGUUGAAAUUUAGAGGGAUCUGCCCAUAUAAGUGGAUCACGAUGAAUCUUAUGAAGAUUCGUAAUAAGUCAAGUGCCAGCUGAAACAUGAUAUCCAUUAACUGUGCAGUCUUCAAUGGCUUCAUGGAUCAGGGAUAGUGGACCAGCAGGGUAUAAGCUUAGCGUUUCCUUAAUAAUGGACUGAAGGUACACUAAGCUUUUGGUGUCUGAUUCCGUCACUACCAACCUAUCCUUACCAACCUUAACAUCUAGUUCUUGUUGGACCUUACUUAAUGUGUCACGAUUAUUGAGUAACAGAGACAAAGCCCAUGUCAGAGUAACUGACGUUGUAUCCUCCGCCGCCAAGAUGAUACCCUAUUAGAUCAAAUACCAUAAAAAGAUCAACAAUGAAUUAAUAGCAUUUCCAACUUCUGUAUGUUAUUAAUGGAAAUCAACAAUGAAUUAAUAGCAUUUCCAACUUCUGUAUGUUAUUAAUGGCAAUCAGUUUGGUUAAGAGAGAUGCACGUACGAGACAAGUGGCUUUGUUGAUUGUAUCAGCAUGGAGUUCCUCCGCGUCACUGAGAAUAGACAGCAUCACUCCCAUGAAAUCUUCCUCACUAUUUGCCUUAUUUUCAGCUCUCUUCUGCUUGUGCUCUCGUAGCCAUCCCUCCACAACUUGGUCCAAUUCUUUCGCUGUCUUUUUCAUGUACUUCAUAUCUCCACCUAUGUCCAACCAUCUCAAAAACGGCAACGCAUCUGAUAUUAGGAACUUUCCACUCAGUUCAAAGAAGUCAUCCAUAUAUUUCUUCCAUUUCAAGUUUUCACCUCCUUCACUGGAAUUUGGAAUUCGCUUCCCUACAAUCAUCCUCGUAAUAACAUUCAGAGUAACUUCUUUGAACCAUCCCUUCAUCUCCACCAAUACUUUAUCGGAGUUAGUACUUUUCUUCUUGUUCCACUGCUGGUAUAAAUGUUGCAGAGAUGUCUUUAUCUCGGAAUCCCUCACAGGUUUAAGCAAUUCAAGUCGGUGAUUUGAGAGGAGCUCAAUAGUGACAAUCUUACGCACUGGACGCCAAUAAGGUCCAUAUGGCGCAAAGCCAGUCAUGGCACCGUUGUAACCCAUAAUUUCCGAGAAUGCAAGCUUUGGACGAGAGGCGAAUGCUUUAUCAUUUAUGGUGAGACAUUCUUUAGCAAUCUCCCAAUUGCUCACCACCAAAGCUCUAUGCACACCCAACUUGAUACUGAAGAUUCUUCCAUAUUUGUCAGCCAUGUUAGCCAAGCUUAUGUGAGGUGGUUGUGAUCCUCCUAAGAGGCGGAGAUGACCAAUAAUAGGCCAUGCUCCACCAGCUUCUGGUGCUGUUUUCUUCGAGUUUGUGUUUCUUCUUGAGAUCCAUAGCAAAGAGAAAAGAAAAAGUAGUGGAAAAGCAAUGAUUGCAACAGUUGAAGUUGCUGUGAGUGAAUGGAGAUAAUCCAUCGCCAGAUUCCCACUUUAAGAUAAGAAAUGGGAAGUGAGUAGCAGAGAUAAGAAUAUAUAUAUAUAUUCAAUCUUUGAAUUUUGUCUCGUUGUGGAAAACCGAGGAAAUUCAUAGAAGAUUUAUAUGAGGGAGUUGGAUUUAUAGGGUUAAAGUACUGUCACAGCAUCGCCUAUCAUUAUUGACCACUUAUUUAACCCAUCGCCAGAUUCCCACUUUAAGAUUAAGAUAUGAAAUGGAAGGUGAGUAGCAGAGAUGAGGGAGUUUGAUUUAUAGGACAAGGAAUGUGUUUUUUUAAGCUUUUUAAGUUUAAAAUUGCAAAUGAUGUGGUACAAGUAAAUUUUGUGAGUAUACAAUAAAUUAUUUAAAAUAAAUAAUUUUAUGCUUAUCUUAUAAUAAAGUUCAUAUUUGAUGGAUUGAUUUAAAAAUAUAUAUAAUUUUCAUAUCUAUUUUUUUAUUUCACCAUUAACAAGUAUUAGGUGUAGCGGUAAGAUACGUUAUACUAUUAAGGAAAAAAACACGAGUUUAAACCUUCAAGAUGAAUAUUAUUAAAUAAAACAAUUACAAAUCCCAAAUAAAGGCAAUAAAAUAGAUAUGCAAAAUAAAGAAAAGGGUAAACCACACAGUUGGUCACUCAACUUUUAUAUGUAUUCAUUUUGGGCACCAAAUUUAAAAGUUUACAAUUUAGGUACUGUCGUUAUAUACUUUUAUCAUUUUAGUCACUAUCAUUACAUACUUUUUUUAUCAUUUUAGUCACCCAUCGUUAAUUUGUCAUUAAAUAUACUCAGUUGGCCACUUAACUUUUAUAAGUAUUCAUUUUGGACACCAAAAUUUAAAAGUUUGCAAUUUAGGUACUGUUAUUAUAUACUUUUAUCAUUUUAGCCACUAUCGUUACAUACUUUUAUAUCAUUUUAGUCACCCACCAUUAAUUUUCCAUUAAAUAUACUCUUUUUUAAUCACUCAACUUUAAUAAGAACUCAAGUAAUUUCCUACAAAACUCUAGGUGUUUCCCUUUUAUUGAAAAAAAUUAAAAUUAAUUCUAAAAAGAUAAAUUAGUUUUUCAGUAAAAACUAAAGUAUUUUUUCUAUAAAAACCUAGGUAAUUCCCUAUAAAAUCAUAGGCUUUUCCCUUCCAUUUUAUUCAGAAAAAAAACUGAAAUUAAUUCUAAAAAGAAAAAAUAAAGGAAUUUCUAACCUAAAUUUUCCUCUAAAUUUUCAGUUUUUCUCCUUUACUGAAAAAAAAAUUAAAAAAUUAAAAGAAAUUAAAAAGAUAAAAUGAGUGACCAAAAUAAAAACUUUCUAAAUUUGGGUGACUAAAAUAAAUAUAUUUAAUGGAAAAUUAAAGGCGAGUUGCUAAAAUGAUAAAAGGAUAUAAUGAUAGUGACUAAAAUGAUAAAAUUAUGUAACAUUAAUAGUGCCUAAGUUGCAAAUUUUUUAUUUUCGGUGCCCAAAAUUUUCAGUUUUGGGACUUUAAAACAUCGUAUCCACAUGCGUGGGAUUUUUCUUGAAAUUAUCUUGGAUUUUUUCAGAUAUUUUCUUGGUUUUAUAUUGAGUUAAUUUUGAUUAUAAUUAAUCAAAUUUUUAUUAUUAUUUAAAUUUCUGAUCGAGUUGAUAUCAUAAGUUGAUGUUAUGAGGUUUAGAAAGAGUCCAAAUGAUAAUACUCUUCCAAGAAGAUACCUACACUUUCAAUCAACCCAAACUGAAGUCAAAUGUCUUCAAACGUUUAACUAAUUAAUUUUCUUUACCACUAUUCAAACGCCCAAAUCGUGAUGUUUGUUAACGCAAUUUGGAUAUAUUAAUUCUAGUCUACAGAACAUUAGUCAGUAAAUGUUUUUAUUUAAAAAUGGAUUUAGAACCCUAUUACUAAAGUCCAAACUAACUAUUAUACAAUGGAUAAUUGCAGUCCCAACAAAAUACACUUAAUAUUACGGUCAUUCACCUCAAGCAACCUCACUUACAACAAGGAUUAUUCUCCAAUAAAAUCCAUACCACAAAAGUGUAAGAAUACAAAAUAGAAUUAUAUCAAUAAACACUCCUACAAAAGCAAUCAAAAUGCAUUGUUAUAGGCCAAUUUCGCCCGGGCCCAUACCAGCAAAACAAAAACAGCCCAAUUACAAUUGUCAAGCCCAAAUACCAACCCACCUAGACCUAACCUAGAAGCCCAAUCAAUAGACCCUAAACAAAAUUUAAAACCCGAGCCCAAUUACAAGACCAGUCCUAAUGCAAACCAUAAGCCCAAAACCCGAAUGGCCCAAAUCUAAAAAAUAAAAAUAAUAAAAAAACCUAGCAGAAAACAAAAGAACCCUAGGCGCCGCACCUAGGGUAUUUUGACCCUUGGUCUUCUGACCCCUCUGCUGCCGCUGCAGCGCCACCUGCUCUGCCGCUCACCUGCCCCGCCCACUUGUGCCUGCAACUGAAGUGACAAGAAUAUUAAAAAGCUUAUAAUCGGCUAUAAAAGCCAUGAUAAGCCACUGUAAAUGGGGAUUUUUUUUUAGAAAUAAAAAAAAUAGAUUCAAAAAAAGAUUCAAAAAAAACUAAAUGUGACCUUUUUAUUUUUGUUUUCGUUUUAUUUUAUUUUUAUGUUUUUUAUUAUUUCAAAAUAUUAAAUAAAAUGAAAAAGGAGAGGCUCUUUUACCUUUUGCCAUCGCCAGAGUGCUCAGGGAGGCAAGGAGGUGGAGAAAUUUUUCGGCUUUUCGGUCGUCGUGUACGGCGGAGCCGUCGCCGGCAACUGGCAGUAAGAGCAGUGGCCUAUGGCCAGAUUUUGGGCCAGUGCCCAGAGAGGGAGAGAGGGAUUGAGAGCAUUUUUAAAAAAAAAUUUUGAAGGAAAGGGGAAAAAUAAAUUUUUUUUUAGAAAAUUUUAGCUUUUAUAGAGGGUCAAAACGAUGUCGUUUUGAGCGCCAAGCCCAAGCGCCAAAACGACGCCGUUUCGUGCUCAACCCGCUCACUGACCCGACCCGCAAGAGGAUCCGCGUGUUUUUGUGGAAGGGUCUAUUUGCGCAUUCAGCCCUUCCACUUUUUAAUGUUUUUUAAUCAAGUAUUUUUAUUUUUUUCAAUUUUACCCCACAAUUUGUUGCGCUUACAAUUUGGUCCCAAUGGAAAUGUGCGUUUUGGAGGGUGGGGGAUUAUUGCCCAUUUAGUCCCUCGUUAUCUGCACGUUCAAUUUGGUCCUCUCUCUUUUAUUUAUUUCUAAUUUUCCCCCGAAUUUUGUUUUAGAGUUCAAUUUAAUCCUUUUUUUUUUGCUAUUUUUGUUAUGUAUUUAUUUACCUAAAUAAUAAAUAUAUUUAUUUUAUUUGUUUAUAUUAUUUUAUAUAAUCUUUAAGCUUUAAGAUUUCUACUAUUGUUAUUAUUAUUAUUAUUAUUAUUAUCAUUAUUACUGUUAUUAUAUUUAUCUUUUUUAGUUUUAUUUAAUAUUUCUUUGUCUUUUUAUUUGUUUGCUUAUUUUCAAUUUUUUUUUUAGUUUUUCAUUUGUUUAUCUACAUAUUUUUCUUAUAUAAUUGAUUCAUUUGUACUUUUUUCAUUAUUUAUCUUGUUUUAUUUUCAUUUUUUUCUAUUAUUAUUUGUUGUCUAUAAUCGCAUUCGUUAAUAUUUUGUCAUGUAUAUUAGUACCGUGAUUUAUUUUUACAUUUUAUCAUGAAAUUAUGUUACAUUAAUUCUACCCUAUGCAUAAAUUAUGACUUUAAAAUAAGUAAAGCUACGUAUUUUGAGAUUCGAGAAGUUGUGCCUUAACUUAUUGGGUUUCGAUUUUUCUCGCGUUGAAUCUAAAUAACCGAAUAUCUUUCUAAAACUAAAAUAAAUGUGUUUUAAAUAAAGAUAACGUAAUAUUCAGUAUUUGGGAUCGUCGAGAGGAUUGAGCCCUAACGUAUUGGGAUCCAAUUUUCCUCGUUGAAUCCAAAUAAUCGAGAAUAUUCUUUAAUCAAAACACAUAAAUAAAAAGUUCAUUAUCGGGAAUUCGAUACGUUGAGUCCUAACGCAUUGGAUAUGACAUGUUGUUUUCUCGAGAUGAGGAUUUUUCUAAAAAAUAAAGGCAAUAUUCAAUGUUUGGAAUUUUGAAAAAUUGUGCCCUAACGUAUUGGGCUACGAUUUCUUCAUCUGACUUAAACAAUUGAAUAUCCUUUUAAAUUUUAUUGCAUGAGUUUUUUAGGACAAGCUCAUUUUUGAGGAGGUGAAAUAUCAUGCCCUAACUCAUUGAGUGUGACAUUUUCUCUCUCCAAAAUGAGAGGGUCUUAACGGGUAAUUUGAUUUAUAUAAGUUUUUUUACAAAAGAUCGUAUUUUAAAUCUCUUCAAAGUUUUCAAUUUUUGACAUUAAGGCAUUAAUUAAUUAACUAGGUACCAAUUUUUUGGCCUCACGAGGGUGCUAAUCCUUCCUCGUACGUAACCGACUCCUGGACCAGUUUUUCUGAAUUUCAUGGACAAAAAUCGUUGUUUUAAUAAAAUCAAAUCGCUUAUUAAAAAUAACCAUUUUUCGAGGUGACCCGAUCACACCUCAUCAAAAAAUAUUAGUGGCGACUCCCGUUUUUAAUUUUUAUUUUUGAACCAACAUCAACCCCGUUUUAUCAAAAAAAUAGUGUCAACAUGCAUACCACAUAUGUACUAUAAUGCAACCUAUUUAUUGCCUAAACAAAGCAUCACAUAUAGUUAUAUGUCUCAUCAAUAAUUAUAUGUCACAUCAAUAAUACAAAUAAAUUAAAUUAAUCUUAUGUUGCCUUCUCAAAAAGAUACAUUUAUAGCAUAUUGCAUAAAAUGUUUACAUCAACCUAAUGAUAACCUAAAAAAGACUACAAAAUCAACUAAGCACACAAUUAAUCUUAGCUGACCAAAGCAUAAAAUGGUUACAGCAUUAACUACCAAAAGUCAACAAAAUAAAACAUGCUGCUGUCGAAUUACACCAUGGACACUAGCAUGCAUCUGCUGCAUUCUUGGUUCUUUUCAUGCAACGUUCACGUUGCAUGGUUUCUUACAUGUAGCUGCUGUUGUUGCCACCUUUAAACAAUAAGAAAUGGAAUGUGAGUAGCAGAGAUGAGGGAGUUGGAUUUAAAGGGCUAGGGGAUGUCAACACAGCACCUUCAUUAACAAGUGUUCUUGUUUUUUUGUCAUUUAAUUUAAUUUCUAAAAACUAAUUCUAAAAAACAAAAUGAAAAAGAUAAAUUAGGAGUCCCAAAGUUGUAAAUUUUUUAUUUUUGGUGCCUAAAAAUGAAAACUGUGACCUGCUGUCUACCCAAAUAUGUAUAUUCCCCCACACUCUAGGAACAAUAAUUUCUUUAAUUAAGGUUAAAUUUUGUUAUUAGUCCCUCUACUUUGUAAAAGUUACAGAUUUAACCCAUACAUUUUAAUUUGAUUAAUUUUGAUCAUUAUACUUUUUGAAUUGGUGAAUUCUAGUCUCUUAACUUUUUUAAAUUUUAAAAAUCUAGUCUUAACCCUAAUAAAUAGUAGUUAAAUCCGUUUGUUUAAAUUCAAUUAUUAGUCUUGUAUUAUGUUUACGAUUGUAAAUUUAGUCCAUAUUCUCCAAUUAGAUCAUUCUAAGUCCCUGUACUUUUUGAAAAUUAAAAUUUUAUUCUUGACGUAAAUGACCGUCAUAAAUCCAUUAACUGAAUAUAUUUUUAGUGAGUAAUAUUUGGAAAUAAUAAGACAUAGCAUUAUAUAUAUAUGGUAAUAUGUUUUUCGCAUCAGAUUUUAAAAAUAGCAAAACUUAACUUAAUGAAGGUAAUAAUUAUCGUUUGAUGAGAACUAAAAUUCUAAAGUUGAAAAAUAUAUAAAUUAAAAUACAAGAAUUAAAUUCAUAAUAUAGAGAUUAAUCACGUAAUUGAACUAAAUGUUGAUAUAAUUGUAAGUACAUAUCUUAAAGGAUCACGCAAAAUCCACCCACGUUUUCUACUUUUGACAAACAACAGUAUACAUAGCCAAUUGAAGCUUGGCAGUGUUCGGAAAUAUUAAAGUUUUGGAUAAAUUUUCUAUUCAUAUUUUUUUAAUCUAAAUUCGGAUAUUUCUGAUUUUUAACUAUUUUAUAUUGACUUAAUUUUGAUAAUAAUUAAUUAAAUCUACAUUAUUUUUAAAUGUUUUGUUGAGUUGGUGUCACGAGUUAAUUGGGCAUCAAUUCCUAAUUAAACUAUGAAGGUAUUUUAAUCUUUUUAUGUAAAAAAAUCAAUAAAAAUAUGGAUACAAUGGGAUUCAAACUCACACCGAUUGCAUUAGUAAAACAUUUAAUUUACCACUCAGCUAAAAUAUUAUUUUGAUAUUUGUAUAUAUUUUAAUUUUAUUAUGACCACUCCAUUAGUUCCAUCAGUUUUAUACCUAUACUAUUAUUAAACUCCGGAUCGAGUUGGUGUAUGAGUGAAUCGGUCACUAACUUGGUUAGGAAAUUAUAGGAAUGUCAUUCUGUAACUAAAAUAAGUAAUAUUAUGGGUAAACUACUAAAAUAGUCAUUUUUGUUUACUUUAGGUUACAUUUUAGUCACUUAAGUUAUCACACUGUAACAUUUUAGUCACUGAGCCGUUGAUUGCCAUUAACGAUAUAAUGGUAAGCUGAUGUGGCACAUUAAAUCAUCAUUACAAACAAAAAUUUUAGGUUAAUUUCUGUAAUCGGUCCCCAUAUUUUUUCAUUUUGAGCAAUUUCAUUUUUUCUUUCAUGUUAUUUUUUCUUCUUUUUUCUUUUCAUUCUCUUUUUCUUCUCCCUCUAUUUUCUUUCCUUCUCCAUUUCUUUUAACUUAAUUUUUCUAUGUUUACCAUUUGUUAAAACUAAUUCCUAUACUUUUAUUUUUUUUGAACAAUUUAAUUUUUUUGAGUAAGAUAAGCUUGUAGACUAAUUUUAAGAAUAAUAUUUAAGAAUUAAUUUUCAAAGGGAUUGAAAAGGGAACUAUUAUACCCUUUAGCCAAGUGGGGAUCAAGCUCAAGCCCCUGCCUGCUAGAAAGCUCCAUCUAACAAGUUACAUGCUAAUGUAGAAAGCUCCAUUUAAUGACACAUACGAUAAAAGCAUUUAAUUUCAAAUCAACUUUUAAUUCAAAUUGUCUAAUUUAAUAGUUUGGGUAGGCUUUAUAAUAUCUUUGUUGACACGAAUAUCGUUUAGCAUAAUAGUUGUAAGGAUGAUAGUAGUAGUUUUCAUGUUGAUUUGGUUGAGUUUGGAUAACAUUUUAGAUUUGGUUUUGAGUUUGGUAUUAGAGAAAUAUCACGAUAGGAGUGAGUCUACACUUACUGUAUCAAUUGUUAAUGCUUGGAUUUGAUAAGACAGAAAUGACAGUGGAAUUAGGCAGUUCACCUCGUUGGGUACAAGGCGGACAACCACUAUAAGAGGUGUUCAGACGAAGAUGGUGUUGAUAUUGGGUUAGGUUGUUGAAGGAGGAAUGAAAGGAGCGGAGAGAAAGAGAGAGUCCCUUUUUCCAGUCAGAUUUGAGAGAUUUUAAACCCUUAGCUACAAUCUCGAGAUGCCAUAUGUCACGUCUCUAUUAGCAAGUCAGGAAUAAGGGGCCAAAUGGUUUGUCACCAUAGGUUUAGGUAGGGUGGCGAUUGGACGUGCUUUCAAUCACUUUAGAUGAAACUCAAUAGUGAGGUUGAGUAGUGACGAUUAAUGAGUAGAGCUCACAUAAAUUAAUAUGACUGUUAGGUCAAGGAAUGUUCCCGAAAGAUAUGUAUGAGUAAUAAGUGGAGCUUUCGUGAGGAGUAGAUCCAAGCGGCGGAGGCAUAACAACUCUAAAUUUAUGAUUUAGCUAAAAUUAUAUCUUUAUUAAAUAAACUCUGUGAUUUUUUCUUAGAAGAGCCCAAUAAACAACUCCAACUUGAUGCUUUAGUAGUACAUUGAUAUCCACCAAUACAGGGGUAAGGUUCCAAUCGACUUUCGUUCUCAUAUGCUUUAGUAUGUUGAAAUGUUCUUUCAACACAAUUACUGAUAAUGCAUGUUUUGAAUAAAAUUAUUAUUCAAAAUAAAUAAAUAUAUUAAAUCAGCAAAAAGAUAUAUAUAGUAAUAAUACUAAAAAUUUAUUUAUUAUAAUUAUAGGUAAACAUAAGUAGGAAUGUGAGGAGUUAUAUAAACUUCUAAUGGAGUUGCUUUAGGACUCAUUAAUUUGACUGCUUCAGACAAAUCGACUGGAUUGUUUGAUGGAGUUUCAAACUCGAACUAAUACAGCAAAUUACCCAGGGUAAGCUCUAAUGGAGUUAGUGGAAUUGUAAACAAAAGCAGGAAGGCGAGGAGUUAUAUGAACUUCUAAUGGAGUUGCUUUAGAAUUCGUUAUCCCAAGUGCUUCACGCAUAUCGACAGCUUCGUUUGAUGGAGUCUCAAACUCAAACCAAUGCAAAUACAUUAGCUAGUGUAAAAAGCAAAAUUUGAAGUGCAAAUGAAAUUCCAGGGCACAUUCUUCUACCACUUCCAAAUGGAAUCAGUUCAAAAUUCUGUCCCCUCACAUCAAUGUCUUUGUGAGUAGUCAUAAAUCUUUCAGGUUGAAAUUUAAAAGAGUUUGCCCAUAUAAGUGGAUCAUGAUAAAUCUUAUAAAGAUCGUGAUCUUUUUUAUGUAAAGUGAAGUAGCCUUUUUACCGUCACCCCAAAUCAUACAUCAAUGAUCAAUCCAAUUCCAUUAUCAAUUUUCUCUCCAUUUUUCUUGUUUUGAAAACACUGAUCAAUCAAAAUGUCAUUAAGAGCUGGACUUGAUUUGACAUGUAGUGCGAUACUUUACGCCUCCUUGCGGAUUUGAUAUCGUGCAAGGGCCAUUCAUGUCUUUACCAUUAGAUUGACUAACAUUACUUGGGCAAACCACUUUUCCUUGAAAUAUUUGAAAUUUAUUGAAUUCUACUUUUUCUUCAGGAAAGAAAAAAUACCAAAAGUUACAUAUGGUAUUAUUACAUGACAAGUAUAGUACCUUAGAAAUUUGUUGAAUUCUACUCAUUUUAUAAUAAAAUUAAAAUACCAAUUAGUUAAUGGAAUCAUAAAAAAAAAAAAAGGAAGACAAGGGGUUAUAUAAACUUCUAAUGAAGUUGCUUUAGAACUUGAUAUCCCAAGUGCUUCACACAUAUCGACAGCUUCUGGUGCUGUUUUCUUCGAGUUUGUGUUUCUUCUUGAGAUCGACAGAAAAGAGAAAAGAAGUAGUAGUGGAAAAGCAACGAUUGCAACCGUUGAAGUUGCUGUGAGUGAAUGGAAAUAAUCCAUCGCCCGAUUCCCACUUCAAUAUUAAGAUAAGAAAUGGAAUGUGAGCAGCAGAGAUGAGGGAGUUGGAUUUAAAGGGCUAGGGGAUGUCAAGACAGUACCUUCAUCAACAAGUGUUCUUGUUUUUUUUUUUUUUUGUCAUUUAAUUUCUAAAAAUUAAUUCUAAAAAACAAAAUGAAAAGGAUAAAUUAGGAGUGCCAAAGUUGUAAAUUUUUUAUUUUUGGUGCCUAAAAAUGAAAACUGUGACCUGCUGUCUACCCAAAUAUGUAUAUUCCCCCACACUCUAGGAACAAUAAUUUCUUUAAUUAAGGUUAAAUUUUGUUAUUAGUCCCUCUACUUUGUAAAAGUUACAGAUUUAACCCAUACGUUUUAAUUUGAUUAAUUUUGAUCAUUAUACUUUUUGAAUUGGUGAAUUCUAGUCUCUUAACUUUUUUAAAUUUUAAAAAUCUAGUCUUAACCCUAAUAAAUAGUAGUUAAAUCCGUUUGUUUAAAUUCAAUUAUUAGUCUUGUAUUAUGUUUAUGAUUGUAAAUUUAGUCCAUAUUCUCCAAUUAGAUCAUUCUAAGUCCCUGUACUUUUUGAAAAUUAAAAUUUUAUUCUUGACGUAAAUGACCGUCAUAAAUCCAUUAACUGAAUAUAUUUUUAGCGAGUAAUAUUUGGAAAUAAUAAGACAUAGCAUUAUAUAUAUGGUAAUAUGUUUUUCGCAUCAGAUUUUGAAAAUAGCAAAACUUAACUUAAUGAAUGUAAUAAUUAUCGUUUGAUGAGAACUAAAAUUUUAAAGUUGAAAAUUAAAUAAAUUAAAAUACAAGAAUUAAAUUCAUAAUAUAGAGAUUAAUCAUGUAAUUUAACUAAAUGUUGAUAUAAUUGUAAGAUUGCUGAAUCCCUUUCAUAUCUUAAAGGAUCACGCAAAAUCCACCCACGUUUUCUACUUUUGACAAACAACAGCAUACAUAGCCAAUUGAAGCUUGGCAAUGUUCGGAAAUAUUAAAGUUUUGGAUAAUUUUUCUAUUCAUAUUUUUUAAUCUAAAUUCGGAUAUUUCUGAUUUUUAACUAUUUUAUAUUGACUUAAUUUUGAUAAUAAUUAAUUAAAUCUACAUUAUUUUUAAAUGUUUUGUUGAGUUGGUGUCACGAGUUAAUUGGACAUCAAUUCCUAAUUAAACUAUGAGGGUAUUUGAGAUUCAAACUCACACCGAUUGCAUUCGUAAAACAUUUAAUUUACCACUCAACUAAAAUAUUAUUUUGAUAUUUGUAUAUAUUUUAAUUUUAUUAUGCACACUCCAUUAGUUCUAUCAAUUGUAUAUCUAUACUAUUAUUAAACUCCGGAUCGAGUUGGUGUAUAAGUCAAUAGGUCACUAACUUGGUUAGAAAAUUAUAGGAAUGUUAUUCUGUAACUAAAAUAAGUAAUAUUAUGGGUAAACCACUAAAAUAGUCAUUUUUUUCACUUUAGGUUACAUUUUAGUAACUUAAGUUAUCACACUGUAACAUUUUAGUCACUGAGCCGUUGAUUGUCAUUAACGAUAUAACGAUAAGCUGAUGUGGCACAUUAAAUCAUCAUUACAAACAAAAAGUUUAGGUUAAUUUCUAUAAUCGGUCCCCGUAUUUUUUCAUUUUUAGCAAUUUCAUUUUUUCUUUUAUGCUAUUUUAUCUUUUUUAUCUUUUUUUUUUCAUUCUCUUUUGCUUCUCCCUCUAUUUUCCUUCCUUCUCCAUUUCUUUUAACGUAAUUUUUCUAUGUUAUUUGCUAAAACUAAUUCCUAUACUUUUAUUUUUUUUUGAACAAUUUAAUUUUUUUUGAGUAAGAUAAGCUUGUGGACUAAUUUUAAGAAUAAUAUUUAAGAAUUAAUUUUCAAAGGGAUUGAAAAGGGAACUAUACCCUUUAGCCAAGUGGGGAUCAAGCUCAAGCCCCUGCCUGCUAGAAAGCUCCAUCUAACAAGUUACAUGCUAAUGUAGAAAGCUCCAUUUAAUGACACAUACGAUAAAAGCAUUUAAUUUCAAAUCAACUUUUAAUUCAAAUUGUCUAAUUUAAUAGUUUGGGUAGGCUUUAUAAUAUCUUUGUUGACACGAAUAUUGUUUAGCAUAAUAGUUGUAAGGAUGAUAGUAGUAGUUCUCGUGUUGAUUUGGUUGAGUUUGGAUAAUAUUUUAGAUUUGGUUUUGAGUUUGAUAUUAGAGAAAUAUCACGAUAGGAGUUAGUCUACACUUACUGUAUCAAUUGUUAAUGCUUAGUUUUGAUAAGAUGGAAAUGACAGUGGAAUUAGGCGGUUCACCUCGUUGGGUACAAGGCGGACAACCACCAUAGGAGGUGUUCAGACGAAGAUGGUGUUGAUAUCGGGUUAGGUUGUUGAAGGAGGAAUGAAAGGAGCGGAGAGAAAGAGAGAGAGCCCCUUUUUCCAGUCAGAUUUGAGAAAUUUUAAACCCUUAACUACAAUCUUGAGAUGCCAUAUGUCACGUCUCUAUUAGCAAGUCAGGAAUAAUGGGCCAAAUGGUUUGUCACCAUAGGUUUAGGUAGGUAGGGUGGCGAUUAGACGUGCUUUCAAUCACUUUAGAUGAAACACGAUAGUGAGGUUGAGUAGUGAAGAUUAAUGAGUAGAGCUCACAUAAAUUAAUAUGACUGUUAGGUCAAGGACUGUUCCUGAAAGAUAUGUCCGAGUAAUAGGUGGAGCUUUCAUGAGGAGUAGAUCCAAGGAGCGGAGGCAUAACAACUCUAAAUUUAUGAUUUAGCUAAAAUUAUAUCUUUAUGAAAUGAACUCUGUGAAUUUUUCUUAGAAGAGCCCAAUAAACAACUACAACUUGAUGCUUUAGUAUUACAUUGAUAUCCACCAAUACACGGGUAAGUUCCAAUCUACUUUCGUUCUCAUAUGCUUUAGUAUGUUGAAAUGUUCUUUCAACACAAUUAUUGAUAAUGCAUGUUUUGAAUAAAAUUAUUUAUUCAAAAUAAAUAAAUAUAUUAAAUCAGCAAAAAGAUUUAUAUAGUAAUAAUACUAAAAAUUUAUUUAUUAUAAUUAUAGGUAAACAUAAGUAGGAAUGUGAUGAGUUAUAUAAACUUCUAAUGGAGUUGCUUUAGGACUCAUUAAUUUGACUGCUUCAGACAUAUCGACUGGAUUGUUUGAUGGAGUUUCAAACUCGAACCAAUGCAGCAAAUUACCCAGGGUAAGCUCUAAUGGAGUUAGUGGAAUUGUAAACAAAAGCAGGAAGGCGAGGAGUUAUAUGAACUUCUAAUGGAGUUGCUUUAGAACUCUUUAUCCCAAGUCCUUCACGCAUAUCGACUGCUAUGCCUGAUGGGGUUUCAAACUCAAACCAAUGCAACACAUUAGCCAACGUAAGCUGUAAAACUUGAAGUGCAAAUGAAACUCCGGGGCACAUUCUUCUACCACUUCCAAAUGGAACUAGUUCAAAAUUCUGUCCCCUCACAUCAAUGUCUUUGUGGGUAGUUAUAAAUCUUUCAGGUUGAAAUUCAAAAGGGUUUACCCAUAUAAGUGGAUCAUGAUGAAUCUUAUGAAGAUUCAUAAUAAGCCAGGUGCCAGCUGAAACAUGGUAUCCAUUAACCGUGCAGUCUUCAGUGGCUUCAUGGAUCACAGAGAGCGGACCAGGAGGAUAUAGGCGUAGAGUUUCUUUAAUGAUGGAUUGAAGGUACACUAAGUUUUUUGUGUCUGAAGUCUAUCCUUACCAAUGUGGACAUCUAGUUCUUGUUGGACUUUACUCAAUUUGUCACGAUUAUUGAGUAGCAAAGAUAGGCCCAUAUCAAUGUGAUGGAUGUGGUAUCCUCCGCGCCUAAGACAAGUCCCUGUUACAUCAAAUACCAUGAAAAGAUCAACAAUGAAAUAAUGGCAUUUCCAACUUAUGUAUGUUAUUAAUAGCAAUCUUGACCAAAAAAAAUUGCCAUUAAUUACAAUCUAUUUGGUUAAGAGAUAUGCACGUACUAGACAAUUGAUUUUGUUUAUUGUAUCAGCAUGGUGUUCCUCCGCCUCACUGAGAAUAGACAGCAUCACUCCCAUGAAAUCUUCCUCACCGUUUGCCUUAUUUUCAGCUCUCUUCUGCUUGUGCUCUUGUAGCCAUCCCUGCACAACUUGGUCCAAUUCUUUCGCUGUCUUCUUCAUGAACUUGAUGUCUCCACCUAUGUCCAGGAAUCUCAGAAACGGCAAAGCAUCUGAUAUUAAAAACUUUCCACUUAGUACAAAGAAGUCAUCCAUCGAUUUCCUCCAUUUCAAGUUUUCACCUCCUUCACUGGAAUUUGGAAUUCGCUUUCCUACAAUCAUCCACAUAAUCACGUUCAGAGUAACUUCUUUGAACCAUCCCCUCAUCUCCACCAAUACUUUAUCGGAGUUAGCACUUCUCUUCUUGUUCCACAGCUGUUACAACUGUUGCAGAGAUGUCUUCACCUCGGAUUCCCUUACAUGUUUAAGUAAUUCGAGUCGGUGAUUUGAGAGGAGCUCAAUAGCGGCAACCUUGCGUAUUUGACGCCAAUAAGGUCCAUAUGGUGCAAAGCCUAACAUGGCUCUGUUGUUACCCAAAAUUUCCGAGCUUGCAAGUUUUGGACGAGAGGCAAACUCUUUAUCAUUUACGGUGAGACAUUCUUUUGCAAUCUCCCAAUCGCUCACCACCAAAGCUCUAUGCACACCCAACUUGAUACUGAAGAUUCUUCCAUAUUUGUCAGCCAUGUUAGCCAAGCUUAUGUGAGGUGGUUGUGAUCCUCCUAAGAGGCGGAGAUGACCAAUAAUAGGCCAUGCUCCACCAGCUUCUGGUGCUGUUUUCUUCGAGUUUGUGUUUCUUCUUGAGAUCCAUAGAAAAGAGAAAAGAAAUAGUAGUGGAAAAGCAAUGAUUGCAACAGCUGAAGUUGCUGUGAGUGAAUGGGAAUAAUCCAUCGCCAAAUUUCUACUUUCAAUCUAAGAUACAGACAAUGCAUAUAUAUGCAUUGUUGUGUUGUUGGCGUAAUUAUCGUAUAUUGAUCUUUCACUAACUUACGUUACUGAUAUUGGAAUUUUGAAGCCAUAUAAGAAAAUCAACGAAGUACUGCGAUGUGAAGAAAGACGACAGGUUAUACUAAUUCCAAUCUUGGGCUCCAUUUAUUUUCUUGAAAAUGAUUUCCAAAAAAAAAAAGAUUUUUGAAAAAAGAUUUAUUUUUAUAAAAAAAUUUAAUUUUUUAUGGUGUUCAAAUAAAUCAGUAUAAAAUAUUUUCGAUUAUUUGGUAAUUUUCCUGAAAAUAUUUCAUAAAAAUUGUUUCCAAUUAAUACAUUUAAGAUUCUUUUAUAUUUUCAUUAUUUAAUUGAAUUUAUUUUAUAUCUAUAAAUAUAUAUUUUAUGUUUUUUUCAUAUAUUGCAAUAAUUUAUUUAUAAAUAAAUACAUCAAAUUAAAUAUAUAAUAUUACUCAAUUAUUAAGCUAGAAUACAAACAAUAACAACUUAAAAAAAUUACACUUCUAAAUUCUUUUAUACCGUUUAUUUUUCAUAUCCAACAUGUUUAUGUGAUAAGUUUACAUGUGUUUAUAAUUUGUUGCGCGUAAUUUGAAUAUGCUCUAUGUCAAAUUCAAACUAUUAUUCAACAUCUAAAUUAGCGGUUAAGUUGAGGUAAUGAUAUGAUUUGUUCGAUACCAAUAUUUUAAGAAUUCAAUUAAAAUAUUUUAAAAUUUAGGAACUAAUUUGAAAUCUAAUUAAUACUCUAGGGACAAUUAAUUAAAUUAACCCAAAGACAAAUAUUGCAAACCACUUUUCCUUGACGAUCCACUACCAUCUCUCGCUAACUAAAUAUCUAAAAUAACAUAAAUAAUAGAUUUGUGGAAUCAUAUUAUAAAAUUAUAGUAUUUAGCCCAUUUACUUUUAUUUUUGAAAAUUUAGUUUUACUUUUUAGAUAUUAAAUUCAGGCUCAACAGUUACUACUACUAAAAAUAUUCUAUUAAAUUCAGGUUAAUUAUAACCUCAUUUUUUAGUUAAAUGACUACCAAGUGAAUAUUUUUUGUUUGAAAAUUUAAAAUCGACAAAAUUAACAAAAAAAAAUAAGCAAUGUUAACAAUUGGACUUGAUUUUCAAAUCUGAAGAGUAGAUGGGCUAAAUAUUUAAACUUUCUAAUUCUGAAUUUGUAAAGAGUACAUUGACUUAUGACAUAUUUUAAACUUUAUACUACAAAACAUUUAUUAUUAAUAUAUUUAUAAUUGUAAUAAAUAUUUGUUAUCAAAAUAUUAAUAUUGAAUUUUUUCAAUAAUAUAUGAAAUUAUUUAAAAUUAUUAUUUUCAAAAUUUAUUAUUAAAAUAAAAUUAAUAUAUUAAAUAAUAAUUUAUAUUAAUAAUUUAUUAUAUGAUUAGAUAUAGAUAAUUAAAUAUGUAUGUUUAAUAAUAUUAAAAAUUAUAAUAUGUUAUAUUAAUAUUUUAUUUAUUUUAAAUAUUUUUAAAAAUAAAAAUAAAAAUUUAUUAUUAAUAUAAUAAUAUUAAGCUUGACUAAAAGUUAUUUUUUAUAUGAAGGUAAAAUUACCUAUAAAUGAGUUCUUUUCCGAAAAAAUGACUUACGCUAAGUCAUUUUACAAGAAAAAUGGCUUAUUUUCAGUUGACUUAUAAGUCAUUUUCUAUUGAUCAAACUAUUUUCCAUGAAUCAAACUUUGAAUACAUUUUUCGUAAAACAAACAGAACGUUAUUUUCUACAUUAACAAAACCAGCCUGGUAAUCUUCGUGGAACACAUUUUUAUUUCCAAAUAAAAAAUGAAGAUGAAAAAGGAAAUUCGUUCACUUAUUGUUUUCCACGAAAUUAAUAUUCUUGUCUAUUAUCAUCAUCAUUAAAUAUAGGGAAAUGAUACACUUAUAUUAGUAUAAAAUUAUAAUGAUAUUAAACUUUAUGUAUUGGUAUGAUGGUUAAGGGCGUUUAAUGUCUUAUGUGAGAUUUUGGUUUGACUCGUGCUAUUUAUAAUUUAUAAAAAAUUAUAGUGAUAUUAUACUUUUUAUAAUUUUUUUAUACAAUUAAUAUCUUAAUAAGUCAACUGUUGAAUUUUAUGUUCUAUUUAUGUAGAUGAUGUAUAUUAAGAGAGAGAGGGAGGGAGAGGGGGGGAAGAGAGAGAGAGAGAGCGCCAUUUUCUAGUCAAUUUUGAGAUAUUUUAAACCCUUAGCUACAAUUUUGAGAUACACAUGUCACGUCUCUAUUAACAAGUCAAGAAAAGGGGGCCAUAUUGUCUAUCACCAUAUGUGUAGGUAGAAUGGGGAUUGAUAGUGCUUUUAAUCACUUUAGAUGAAAUACGGUAGUAAAGAUGAAUAGUGACAAUUAAUAAGUGAGGCUCACAUAAACUAAUAUAACUGUUAAGUAGAGAAGUGUUCCCGAAAGAUAUGUUCGAAUAAUAAGUGGAGCUUUCGUGAGGAGUAAAUUGAGAAGUGGUAGAGGCAUAACAACUCUAAAUUUAUCAUUUAGUUAAAACUAUAUGUUUAUGAAAUGAACUCUCUCAAAUUUUGUUAGAAGUGCCCAGUAAACACCUCCAACUUAAUUCUUUAGUAGUAAUUUGAUAUCCACCAAUACAGGGGUAAGGUUCCAAUUGACCAUCGUUCUCAUAUGCUUUAGUACGUUGAUAUUCUUUCAACACAACUAGUGAAAUGCAUGUUUUGAAUAAAAUUAUUUAUUCAAAAAUAAAAAAUAAAAUAAAAAUAUUAAAUCAGUAAAAUCAAUUGCACCAACAGCACCAAGUAGCCCAAAUAUUUAUUUUUGAUCGUGUAUAUAAUAAUAGUUCGAUAAAUAAGCAAUAUACUAACCAUUUUGAUAUCCACAAAAAAGAUAUAAAUAGUAAUAAUACUAAAAAGUUAAUUCUUAUAAUAAUUGGUAAACAUAAGUAGGAUUACGAGGAGUUAUAUGAACUUCUAAUGGAGUUGCUUUAGAACUCGUCAGGCCAGGUGCUUCACGCAUAUCAACGGCUUCAUCGAACGAGGUCUCAAACUCAAACCAAUGUAACACAUUAGCUAGUAUAAGUGACAAAUUCUGAAGUGCAAAUGAAAGUCCGGGACACAUUCUUCUACCACUUCCAAAUGGAAUCAGUUCAAGAUUUUGUCCCCUCACAUCAACAUCUUUAUGUGUGGUCAUAAAUCUUUCAGGUUGAAAUUUAGAGGGAUUUGCCCAUACAAGUGGAUCACGAUGAAUCUUAUGAAGAUUUAUAAUAAGCCAAGUGCCAGCUGAAACAUGAUAUCCAUUAACUGUGCAGUCUUCAAUGGCUUCAUGGAUCAGGGAUAGUGGAAGAGC